UCAACCAUCCCAGAUAAAUGCCUCUCUUUAAAAAAAGAGAUCUCUAACUUAUCUCUAGCUCGGAUGAUCCCUCUAUCUGUAUUUUUCUGCUCUGUCUAGUAACCCCAAAGCCUCGGCACAGCCUCUCUUGCACCUGGCUGGACUUUCUGAGCAUAAAACAUAAAUGCUCCAUUAACUCUCAAGAAGAUGAUUUACCAUUUGCCCUUUAUAGACAAGAUGAAAAUAGUGGGAACAUCAUCUGAAAACAUAUGACCCAACCGUUGGCGCACCCUGUGGCUGCAAACCUUUAAUGCGCAACACAGAGCCUUGGAGUCUGAAGAGGGAUGAUGGAGAGACGGUGCCUUACUGCGAUGCUUCUUGAAUCAACAACAGCAAAUAAUGAGACAAGGGGAAAUCAGUAGGGGCGGAGGCUGCAGCUCCUGGCGAGGAGGUCGCUGAGCGGCGUUGCUCUAUUCUGAUGGAGAUGCUUCUGGCCAAUUUAGGAGCAAGCCUGUGGGGCUCUGAAGGAGGCUCCCUGCACUCUUUCAGCAAAAGUAAAGUCACCAUGAUGCAUGGCCUUGAGGAGAGACUGGCAAGUUGAGAUGUAAGGGCAGGCGGUGAUUUUUCCUGGGAGAACCCCAAGGAGAAAAGGAAAACAAGAGUAAGCUGAGCAUUUGGACAACAGGGGCCAACAGCUGGCACUUCCCGGUGGCUGCUGGGUGGCCGACAUGGGCUGAGUUCAUGAUUCACAAUUCAAACCACAGUCAUAAUAAUGAAAUCCAUCUAUAUUACUAAGAUUACUAACAUGCUUCUUGUUGGCCAGCCCAUGGGGGACGCCCAGGAGUGACCGCUCUAGGGAUACCGAGUGAUCGCGCCAGCCUUAGCAAAGAGAUUUCCAUGUUUCAUUUGAGGCAUGAGCUGGUCAGACUACAGGAAUUGCUUGUGCUAACCUGUUUUAAAGGUAUGAAAAGACACAGAGCCACUCUCUCAUCCUGUGAAAAAUGGCAAUGCACCAUUGCAGACAACGGAGCCACACAAGUUUAUGCUGGAUGAAAAUGCAGACUUUUUCAAUACGAUCCACACGGAAAAGCAGGUAGAAGUGGUCAACGACAGAGUAUUUUUUUGGAGCUCACGGCUAAGUUGUAUAUUAUUAUUUCAUUAGGAUACAAGUGAGAGCUUUUAUUCUAAUUUGUAUGGGAAAUGUGUCAAAAAGAAGUUGAGAAAAACUGGGCUCUCUCUCCUAAUCUAUACUGUAUAACAUGUUCAUUAGCACUGUACAGCCAUCCUGGAAAGCAACAUUUCUAAGCCAGCCACUGUUUAAGACUUUCAUAAUGUAAUAACUCUUUGUCCAAUCCUGCUGGAAUGAAACAAGCUGACUUCACUAAUAGUAUAUUGAGUUCUUGCAUCUCUAUUAUAAAUGAUUUUAGUUGCAGACAUUUAAUUAAUGUUAUAAAUUCAAUAGUUAUGAUACAGUAUGGGAAAUGAUGAUGUUCUCUUAAUAUACACCAUGUUUUGGUUUAUUUUCUUUUUAACUGUGAGUUUCUAUUGUCACCAGAUAUCCUACUGAUUUGGUUGCAAUUAGAUCACAUAUUAGAUGCCCAGGAUGGGAACUCUC
Long non-coding RNA from Alligator mississippiensis (American alligator), 1594 nucleotides. RefSeq lists it as uncharacterized. NCBI's taxonomy places the organism in Eukaryota, Metazoa, Chordata, Crocodylia, Alligatoridae. The transcript is spliced from 2 exons. The record is from RefSeq and is a predicted model, not a curated record.